RNAcentral lists this unclassified non-coding RNA (681 nucleotides) under Hevea brasiliensis (rubber tree). The record is from RNAcentral. Lineage: Eukaryota; Viridiplantae; Streptophyta; Magnoliopsida; Malpighiales; Euphorbiaceae.
AGCUUGAUAGGACAUGUGUGGGAGUUAUGGAGAGAAGGCAGAACACUGGAGAUGGUUGAUUCAUCAUUGGUGGAGUCAUAUAAGCCUGAUGAAGUCUUCAGAUGCAUUCAAAUCGGACUCUUAUGUGUGCAAGAAGAUGCAGUGGACAGACCUACUAUGUCAGCAGUUGUUCUAAUGUUGAACAGCGAAAAAACUCCCCCUUCUCCUAAACAACCUGCUUUCAUUUUCAGGACAUCUUCCAACACUAGCAACUCCAGAGGAGGAGAAGGAUCCUGUUCUGUAAAUGAAUUGUCAAUUACUGCAGAUGCAACACGAUAGCUUUUGGAUUUUUGUACCUGGAAUCAUAUGAUGAUUUCCAACAGAGAUGUAUUGUACAGCCAUCUCAAUAUGAAUUUCAAUUGCCAUUUAACCAUAUGGAUAUAGUUGCAGAUGGUUUUGGCAGGAAGAGUUUUGGAACAGGAAACUGUAUUGAAAUCGGAAAAAGUAAGGAAAUCAGCUGAAUCGGAAACACUGACAUUUAAAACCAUGGCUACACUCCCCGACUAAAACCUGGUUAAUCCUUCCAGGAUCAAAUAUUCAUCAUUUGGCAUUUCUAUUUCCGCUACAGGAGAAAUUUUUCCAGGACUUGGAUGCUAAGAGUCCUGACCUUUUCUUUGCUUCUGUUUAUCUGUUAUGCUUUGC